AUACGGAGGGUGCAAGCGUUAAUCGGAAUUACUGGGCGUAAAGCGUACGUAGGCGGUUUAUUAAGUCAGAUGUGAAAGCCCCGGGCUUAACCUGGGAACUGCAUUUGAUACUGGUAGACUAGAGUAUGGUAGAGGGGGGUAGAAUUCCUAGUGUAGCGGUGAAAUGCGUAGAUAUUAGGAGGAAUACCAGUGGCGAAGGCGGCCCCCUGGACCAAUACUGACGCUGAGGUACGAAAGCGUGGGGAGCGAACAGGAUUAGAAACCCCGGUAGUCC
This 274-nucleotide ribosomal RNA is filed under the name uncultured bacterium. RNAcentral's name for it is "partial 16S ribosomal RNA". It matches the Rfam family "Bacterial small subunit ribosomal RNA", at positions 523 to 796 of the family's 1533-position model. The record is from RNAcentral.